CCCUUUACGGGCGGAGGAUGGGGCGGCCUGCGCAGGCCCGCUCCUGGCCCCGCCCACGGCAAACGUCACCGCGGCCGUUACGCCGUUAAAGCGUCUCGGCGCGCGAUUUAAAACCAGCUCCAGACAGGGAGAGCGAGAUGGGGCCUCCCUGCCCAGAAAUCCGUGGGCACCCCCACAGUACCUCCUCACCUUCAGAACGGGUGUUCUCGAUGCCCCUGCCUCGGAAGGCCCCUCUCAAUACUCCUGGCACCCCCGUCCUUGAAGACUUUCCCCAGAAUGACGACGAAAAGGAGCGACUGCAACGGAGGCGCUCCCGAGUCCUGGACCUGCAGUUCAGCGCAGACUCGCCUCAUUUGCUAGCCUCCCCAUCGAGCAGGAAUAUUGACGUUUCAGCCACGAUUCCUAAAUUUACAAAUACACAGAUUACAGAACAUUACUCCACCUGUAUCAAACUAUCCACUGAAAAUAAAAUUACUACCAAGAAUGCUUUUGGUUUGCACUUGAUUGAUUUCAUGUCAGAGAUUCUUAAACAGAAAGACACCGAACCGACCAACUUUAAAGUGGCCGCUGGCACUCUGGAUGCCAGCACCAAGAUCUACGCUGUGCGGGUAGACGCUGUCCAUGCCGAUGUAUACAGAGUCCUCGGGGGGCUGGGCAAAGAUGCGCCAUCUCCAGAGGUAGAGAACCAUGAUGCAGAUGGAAGUGCUACUGAGACAGGAACAACCAAAAAGGCUCAAAAGCCAAAGAAGAAGCACUCCUGCAAAACCAUCGAACAGAAUAUAAGCAACCUCAAUGUCUCCGAAGCAGAUCGGAAGUGUGAGAUCGAUCCCAUGUUUCAGAAGACAGCAGCCUCAUUCGAUGAGUGCAGCACAGCGGGGGUAUUUCUCUCGACCCUCCACUGCCAUGACUAUAGAAGUGAGCUGCUGUUUCCUUCCGAUGUCCAGACUCUCUCCACUGAAGAACCCCUGGAGUUGCCAGAUUUAGGUUGGGUAGAAAUGACAGAUUUAAAGGCGCCCUUGCAACAGUGUGUGGAAGAUUGCCAGAUCUGCCCUUCCCUGGCCGGGUUCCAGUUCACUAAAUGGGACAGCGAGGCACAUAAUGAGUCCGUGUCUGCCCUGGUAGACAAGUUCAAGAAAAACGAACAGGUGUUUGACAUCAACGCCGAGGUAGAGGAGGAUGACUGCGGGGAUUUUCCUGAUGGGCCCAUGGAGGACGACUUUGAUGCGAACGACGAGCCUGAGCACAGCAUGGCUGGGGACAACGCUGAGUUCAGGAGCUGGAAGGAACCCUGCCACACUCAUAGCUGCCCGGAAGAAAUGAUUCCCCUUGGGGAUGGAGACAUUAGGACCAUGUGCCCCCUUCUGUCCAUGAAACCUGGAGAAUAUUCCUAUUUUAGUCCCCGUACCAUGUCGAUGUGGGCUGGCCCGGAUCACUGGCGCUUUAGACCCCGACUCAAACAUGAUGCUGCCUCCAAAUCAGAAAACAAGAAGAAGAAUACAAAGAAAGAUUUUGAAAUUGACUUUGAUGAUGAUAUUGACUUUGACAUAUAUUUUCGAAAAACAAAGGCUGCUACUAUUCUGACCAAAUCCACUUUGGAGAAUCAGAAUUGGAGAGCUACCACUCUUCCUACGGAUUUCCUCUAUGAGACUGAUAAUCUUGUCCAGCUGCAUCUCAAACCAGGAACCAGGUUACUUAAGAUGGCCCAAGGCCAGAGGGCAGGAACUGAACAUUAUGAAGAAAUUGGAGACUAUGAUUACAACAACCCUAACGACACCUCCAACUUUUGCCCUGGAUUACAGGCUGCUGACAGUGAUUAUGAAGAGUCGGAUGAUUUAUUUGUGGGACCAGUUGGGACCUUUGACCUUACAUCUUGCCAUCCACCUAAAACAACACAAGAGAAUGAUGAUAUCCCUGAAGUCCAAGGAUUGGACAUCACCACUUAUGGGGAGUCGAAUCUGGUAGCUGAACCUCAGAAGGUAGAGGUAAAUAAAAUUGAAAUUCAUUAUGCCAAGACUGCCAAAAAGAUGGACAUGAAGAAGUUGAAGCAAAGCAUGUGGAGUUUGCUGACAGAGUUCUCCAAGCAUGCAGACGCGGAGACAAACCACAGUGAAACUGGAAAAGAAGGGGACAUGGGAAAGGUGGCUGAUGAGAAGAUGCUCAGCGGGCUCACAAAGGACCUACAGAAGAGCUUGCCUCCCCUCAUGGCUCAGAACCUCUCUAUACCUCUGGCCUUUGCCUGUCUCCUACAUUUAGCCAAUGAAAAGCUCCCCUGAGAAGUGCGACGGGGCUUGGGGUGCAGUGGUGGACGCUGGGUCUCCUCUACCUCUGUGGGCCUGAGUGCCAGUAUGGUGUGACUGAUUAGCCAAACCUGAACCGCUUCUGGAACCUGAGUCGUAGAAGUCACACUUCAGGGGGAAUCUAAAGCUGGAAGGAACUGAGGACCUUUCCGACAUUCUUGUGAGGCAAGGGGAUUGAGUUUGCCCGAGAAGAGUUGGCAGAAAGGGGCUCAUCGCUUCUUCGGUGACCAGGACGUCCCCACUCUGGGUGCUGCAAGUGCGGCAGGCCUGUGGCAAGGCUGUAGCCCACUACCAAAGUGCCAGGUUUUUUAUCUGUUGCUCUUCCCUUCUCUUCCUCAUGGUCUGGGAACCAGCACCCGGAAGCUCUUUGAUUAAAGUUUCCUGCCUUGUGGUGACCACAGGGAGGAGAUGGUGAGGGCACUGUUCUUGAUUAUGAAAACCUAUAUCCAUGUUUUGAAUUCAUGUCUCGUUUUUGCCUCCUCAGCUGCUCUUUGUUUUUUUCCACACUUUUGUAGAAAAUUAUUUCCCAGUAGGCACUGGUUGUCUUUAAACAGCUGUCUAAGCCAUGUACAUAAAAUACAUCGUCUGUGCACUUACAAAUGUAUAUAUGUUAUGUCUGCUUAAAUAAAAUCAUUCUGAAUCAUA
This is an RNA transcript of Felis catus (domestic cat), 2942 nucleotides long. It is a transcript of the gene named non-SMC condensin I complex subunit H, with no coding region annotated. Lineage: Eukaryota; Metazoa; Chordata; Mammalia; Carnivora; Felidae. The transcript is spliced from 19 exons. The record is from RefSeq and is a predicted model, not a curated record.